RNAcentral lists this ribosomal RNA (988 nucleotides) under uncultured delta proteobacterium. RNAcentral describes it as "bacterial SSU rRNA". It matches the Rfam family "Bacterial small subunit ribosomal RNA", at positions 30 to 995 of the family's 1533-position model. Lineage: Bacteria; Deltaproteobacteria. The record is from RNAcentral.
CGAACGCUCGGCGGCGUGCCUAACACAUGCAAGUCGAACGCGAAAGUCCUUCGGGAUGAGUAAAGUGGCGCACGGGUGAGUAACACGUAGGUGACCUGCCUUUUAGAGGGGAAUAACCAGAAGAAAUUUUGGCUAAUGCCGCAUACGAAGUACAAAUCUAAGAGUAGUACUUGAAAGGAUGCCUCUGUAUAUGCAUUCACUAAAAGAUGGGCCUGCGGUACAUUAGCUUGUUGGUGGGGUAAAGGCCUACCAAGGCAACGAUGUAUAUCCGGUCUGAGAGGAUGAUCGGACACACUGGAACUGAGACACGGUCCAGACUCCUACGGGAGGCAGCAGUGGGGAAUAUUGCGCAAUGGGGGAAACCCUGACGCAGCAACGCCGCGUGAGUGAGGAAGGACUUCGGUCUGUAAAGCUCUGUUAAUGUGGAAAAAUGGUAGCUGGUCUAAUAGGCCGGCUAUUUGAUGGUACACAUAGAGGAAGCACCGGCUAACUUCGUGCCAGCAGCCGCGGCAAUACGAAGGGUGCAAGCGUUGUUCGGAUUUAUUGGGCGUAAAGCGCGCGUAGGCGGACCUGUAAGUCAGAUGUGAAAUCUCGGGGCUCAACCUCGAAACUGCGUCUGAAACUGCAGGUCUAGAAUCUUGGAGGGGGAAGGGGAAUUUCGCAUGUAGGGGUAAAAUCCGUAGAUAUGCGAAGGAACACCAGAGGCGAAGGCGCCUUCCUGGACAAGUAUUGACGCUGAGGCGCGAAAGCGUGGGGAUCAAACAGGAUUAGAUACCCUGGUAGUCCACGCUGUAAACGAUGAAUACUAGGUAUUGGAGGAUUUGACCCCUACAGUGCCGUAGCUAACGCGUUAAGUAUUCCGCCUGGGAAGUACGGUCGCAAGACUAAAACUCAAAGGAAUUGACGGGGGCCCGCACAAGCGGUGGAUUAUGUGGUUUAAUUCGAAGCAACGCGCAGAAACCUUACCUAGGCCCUGAAAUCCCACGAA